This 254-nucleotide ribosomal RNA is filed under the name uncultured bacterium. Its description in RNAcentral is "partial 16S ribosomal RNA". It matches the Rfam family "Bacterial small subunit ribosomal RNA", at positions 524 to 776 of the family's 1533-position model. The record is from RNAcentral.
UACGGAGGGGGCUAGCGUUGUUCGGAAUUAUUGGGCGUAAAGAGCUCGUAGGCGGUGUGUCGCGUCGGCCGUGAAAACCUGCAGCUUAACUGUGGGCUUGCGGUCGAUACGGGCAUCACUGGAGUUCGGCAGGGGAGACUGGAAUUCCUGGUGUAGCGGUGAAAUGCGUAGAUAUCGAGAGGAACACCUGCGGCGAAGGCGGGUUGCUGGGCCGACACUGACGCUGAUGCGCGAAAGCGUGGGGAGCAAACAGG